This 336-nucleotide ribosomal RNA is filed under the name uncultured soil bacterium. RNAcentral describes it as "bacterial SSU rRNA". It matches the Rfam family "Bacterial small subunit ribosomal RNA", at positions 26 to 373 of the family's 1533-position model. The record is from RNAcentral.
AGAUUGAACGCUGGCGGCAUGCCUAACACAUGCAAGUCGAACGGGAGUAGCAAUACUCUAGUGGCGGACGGGUGAGGAAUACGUAGGAAUUUGCCCUUAAGUGGGGGAUAACCCGGGGAAACCCGGAUUAAUACCGCAUGACCUCGAAAGAGCAAAGUGGGGGAUCGCAAGACCUCACGCUUUUGGAGAAGCCUACGUCGGAUUAGCUAGUUGGUGAGGUAAUGGCUCACCAAGGCGACGAUCCGUAACUGGUCUGAGAGGAUGAUCAGUCACACCGGAACUGAGACACGGUCCGACUCCGUACGGGAGCAGCAGGUGGGGAAUAGUUGGACAAGU